Pygocentrus nattereri (red-bellied piranha) is the source of this 667-nucleotide long non-coding RNA. RefSeq lists it as uncharacterized. The transcript has 3 exons. The record is from RefSeq and is a predicted model, not a curated record. NCBI's taxonomy places the organism in Eukaryota, Metazoa, Chordata, Actinopteri, Characiformes, Serrasalmidae.
AUCAUUUUACAUAGGUAGGCCAAGGCGGUGUUAGGUGUUAGGGUGUUUUGCCCUGGUGGGAUUGAACCCCAGUCUACAGUGUAGAAAGCAGAGGUGUUAACCACAACACUAUCCCAACCAAUUCAGAUUCUCAAAACCAAAGAUACAGAGCAGUCUGUGUGUGACAUCAGUGGAGCAAGAGCCCCCACAACCCAAGCAGCCCAGCACAGUUGUGUCUUCACGCUAAGCUGGUAGAACAUUUUUGCCUUUAACAACAAAAGCACUGAAGUAUUAUCCAUAUUGUUACGUUUCAUUCUCACAUUGCUUUUUAUGUCACUUCAAAAAAGAACAUGCAUUUAAGGAAAAAAGUGAUACGCAAAUUGUUUAUGGCAUGCAAUGUAUGAUUAAUAUGACACUUGUUUUUGUGUUUUUCAGCUGUCCUACAUCUUAGACGAAUACAAGGAGGUGAACUUAAUGAAGUGGCCAGUUGGCAUAUACAGUGGCGCUUGAAAGUUACAUCGACCAUAAUGAAAUGAUCAAUAGGAGCCACCAUUGUCUUCCGCAGGACAUAUAUGCCAGUGUUUGCCAAAGGAUACAAAACAAAUCAAUGGAUCCAGAAGUGCGGUCAGUCACGUGGGUCCAGUGUCAGUGCUGUGGGGGUCAGUGACUGUGCUGGAGUGGAAACACU